This is an RNA transcript of Zingiber officinale, 1381 nucleotides long. RefSeq lists it as uncharacterized. Lineage: Eukaryota; Viridiplantae; Streptophyta; Magnoliopsida; Zingiberales; Zingiberaceae. The transcript is spliced from 2 exons. The record is from RefSeq and is a predicted model, not a curated record.
UCCAAUGCAGCGCCGAUCCAUUAUGAUCGUCCACCGUCUAUAGUUCGAUCUCUAUCCAAGCCCAUCUCCGGCCGUCCAUCAAGGCCGAUCGCCAUUUCUAACGCCGCUGCCAAAAUUCCACGUCCGCGAUGAUCUCCCCCGUUUCUCCGUCUCCUGGUCGAGCGAAAGCCCUCCUCCUCCCUCGAUUCUUGCUUCGUCCCCUCGAUCGGAGGAAUCCAGAUCCAGGAACAUAGAUCGGUCGUAUUCCUCUCGGGUUCCUCCUCCUCGGUCUUGUGGAAGAAGGCGGCUCUGAGUUCUAGCUUCGCUUUCGAUUUUUGAAGCUCACCUCGGUUGUAGCUCCGCCUCGUGGUCGAUCCGAGACUGGUUUUCUAUUAGUUCGGCUUCUUUUCGUGUGAAAAUGGCGUCUCGGCCGGAUCAGGUGCCGGAUAUGCGGCUGUUCGAUGCCUACUUUCUGAGAGCAGAUGUGGAUCGGGAUGGGAGGAUCAGCGGCAAGGAGGCGGUGACUUUCUUUGAGGGAUCCAAUUUGCCGAGACCCGUUUUGGCUCAGUUCGGAGAUCUGCUCUCUUCGUAUUUUGAUAGAUGGGACAUAUUUUUAGAGCAAAACUGAUGUAUUGCAACAAUGGAGCAAGAUUUGGAAGAAAGGAAUAUGCACUGACCGUGUCCCAUGACAUAGGUGAGCUCCUACUAGCGAUAUUGACUGAAGAAUGGAGGAUUUUUAGCAUCCAUAAAGGUCCAAGCCAUGCCUUGUUCGUAGUUUUAUUACCUCCAACUGAAGCUAACACAGCUUGGGCGUGCCUUGUCCGGAGAUUCAAUGCCUCCGACAGCAACCAACAUGGUGCAACCAGGCUUUUUUGGUGCGAUUGUGUCUCCUCCCAAAGAAUAACCAAAGAGUUACAUGGUUUGGCUGUACCUAAAAGGCACAACCGUGUCUUGGCUAGCAUCAGUUGGUUGAGGCCGACAAGGCAUGAUCGUGCCAAAAAGGGACAGUUAUGUCACGUCCUGGGCAGGGGCCACGUGGGCCCAUUUCCCAACCUUUUUGAAAUAUUUGGAGGGCUAUAAAUAACCCAAAAAUCCCUAAUUAAGGGAGGAGGGUUCUCCCCUUUCUAGGGGACCGUCGACUUUGACGAUCUAUCCACCAUCCAAGCGAGGAUUCCAUUCGAGAAGACUGGUAAAGCAUUGUUAAGCAUCCUUUUUCCUCUCUACUAUGUUUUUGAGUUGUAAAAUGUUAUUAUUCUUAUCUCUUGGUUGUAUUUUCCUUGCUAUGGAGUAGAUCUUUGGACUCUAGGAUGUAGGAAGUAAUUAUAAUGUGAUGUUGAUGUGUGAACUUUGUAUUUGGGCAUUUCCUUAUUCUAUGAUAUGUAUAUUUCUUGUUCUAGAUUGA